RNAcentral lists this ribosomal RNA (568 nucleotides) under Triticum aestivum (bread wheat). RNAcentral describes it as "partial small subunit ribosomal RNA". The record is from RNAcentral. Lineage: Eukaryota; Viridiplantae; Streptophyta; Magnoliopsida; Poales; Poaceae.
UGAUGAUGAGUACAUGCUGCUGUUUGACUAGUUCACUGCCUGCUGGUCCAGAUUAUAUGGUCGUGAAGCUCGGCGUUGACAAGAGCAUCACUCUGUAGCUGUGCAUCCUUCUCUAACAAGCAUUCAAAGCACUACCAUGCCGGGCUGUGGGUACUGCCUCAUCGACCAAGGAUCUACGGCGACAGCGGCACCAGCGACCCCAUGGAGGCGGCACCGAAACCCUGAUGUUCAAGCUGGAGGAUGUGGCGAUGGAAUAUGGAUCAAUGAGAUGAAGAAAGGUGUUGAUGUCAAGUACGAGAAUGAUGGAAGGAUCUUGUGGUUAUCUAGUUGCCCACCAGGAGUCAAUGUAGAUGAUGUGCCUCUAGGGCAAAUUCUAGAAAACAAAGCGACUCAUUUUUGCUCUCAAACAAUGAACAUAUUUUUCCCUAUUUAAUAAGUUAAAUUAGUUUAUGGGAAAUUUAGAUGUGAAAAUUAAUGAAUGUGUGUUAUUAUUGUUUGGUUUUGGUUUAGUAUUGUUGGACGACAUGCACGUUAUUGUAAUGAUUUGGGUUAACUUGAUUGAUAUUCU